GAUGAACACUAGCGGCAGGCCUAACACAUGCAAGCCGAACGGUAAUUUUUUUCCGACUUGUCGGGAGAGAAACGAGUGGCGGACGGGUGAGUAAUGCGUAUGCAACCUACCUUUAACCGGGGAAUAGCUCCGAGAAAUCGGAAUUAACACCCCAAAUAUCCUAGUAACACAUGUUAUAGGGAUUAAAGCUCUGGCGGUUAAUGAUGGGCAUGCGUGACAUUAGCUAGUUGGUGAGGUAACGGCUCACCAAGGCAACGAUGUCUAGGGGGUCUUAAAGGAUGGUCCCCCACACUGGUACUGAGACACGGACCAGACUCCUACGGGAGGCAGCAGUGGGGAAUACUGGGCAAUGGGUGAAAGCCUGACCCAGCCAUGCCGCGUGCAGGAAGAAUGCCUUAUGGGUUGUAAACUGCUUUUGUAUAGGAAGAAACCCCCGAUCGUGAUCGGGGCUGACGGUACUAUACGAAUAAGGAUCGGCUAACUCCGUGCCAGCAGCCGCGGUAAUACGGAGGAUCCAAGUGUUAUCCGGAUUUAUUAGGUUUAAAGGGUGCGUAGGCGGAAUUAUAAGUCAGUGGUGAAAUCCUACAGCUUAACUGUAGAACUGCCAUUGAAACUAUUAUUCUUGAGUAUAGUUGAGGUAGGCGGAACGUGUUAUGUAGCGGUGAAAUGCUUAGAUAUAACACAGAACACCAAUUGCGUAGGCAGCUUACUAAACUAUUACUGACGCUGAGGCACGAAAGCGUGGGUAGCGAACAGGAUUAGAUACCCUGGUAGUCCACGCCGUAAACGAUGAUUACUCGAUGUAUGCGAUAUACAGUAUGCGUUCUAGCGAAAGCAUUAAGUAAUCCACCUGGGGAGACGUCGGCAACGAU
Molecule: ribosomal RNA, 872 nt
Filed under: uncultured Bacteroidota bacterium
Lineage: Bacteria; Pseudomonadati; Bacteroidota
Description: bacterial SSU rRNA
Rfam family: Bacterial small subunit ribosomal RNA
Source: RNAcentral